UACGGAGGGGGCGAGCGUUGUUCGGAGUUACUGGGCGUAAAGCGCACGUAGGCGGUGCGGUAAGUCAGGGGUUAAAGGCUGCAGCUCAACUGCAGUAAGGCCUUUGAUACUAUCGUGCUAGAGUACCAGAGAGGAUGGCGGAAUUCCCGGUGUAGCGGUGAAAUGCGUAGAUAUCGGGAGGAAGGCCGGUGGCGAAGGCGGCCUCCUGGGCCUGCACUGACGCUGAGGCGCGAAAGCGUGGGGAGCAAACAGG
RNAcentral lists this ribosomal RNA (253 nucleotides) under uncultured microorganism. Its description in RNAcentral is "partial 16S ribosomal RNA". It matches the Rfam family "Bacterial small subunit ribosomal RNA", at positions 524 to 776 of the family's 1533-position model. The record is from RNAcentral.